This is a non-coding RNA of Camellia sinensis, 1187 nucleotides long. The record is from RefSeq and is a predicted model, not a curated record. Lineage: Eukaryota; Viridiplantae; Streptophyta; Magnoliopsida; Ericales; Theaceae.
UUUUUUCCAUUCCCGCUCGGGUUACCAAAUACCCCCAAUCUCUUGAACCAAAAAUCUCCUUCAACCAAAAAUCCCUAAUCUCUUCUUACGGCUCUCUCUCUCCGGCGAGCGGCGGCAAACGACGGCAUCGAGCAGCGUGUGACAAAUACGAAGUUCCUCAUUUCUUCUCUCUCUUCUAGACCCUUCGAAGCCUCCUCGCCUUCCAAGUUUGUACAAAACACCGCGGUUUCAUCUAAGUACGAGCAAGAACAGGACCUAUUGAGCGAUGCAGAGGAACCCAGUGUUUGGAGUAAGGGGCAGAGGAUUUUAUAGUGAAACCUGUUAAAUGAUCAGACAUGAAACGUUUGAAAGAUAAGUCUUCGAUGAUGAUGAUGUUCAUGUUCUUGUGAAGUCACUGCAGUGGAUGGUGGAAGGAGAGCUCUGCAAUAUCUAGGAUUGGAUGAUGAGGAAAAGAGCUAUGUUUGGAGAGUGAUUUGGUUGAAUUGGAGACUACAGUGGAACCCACAUGGCCAAAGUUGGUUGAGCCGUUAGAGAAGAUCCUAGACCGACUAUGGAUCGUUUGGGGGAUUGUGAAUCAUUUGAAUGCUGUCAAGGAUUCUCCUGAACUCCGUUCUGCCAUCACAGAAGUUCAGCCAGAGAAGGUUGAGUUUCAGUUAAGGGUGGGCCAGAGCAAACCCAUUUAUAAUGCAUUUAAAAAAAUCCGAGAAUCUUCAGAUUGGGAAACAUUGAGUGAUGCCUGUAAACAAAUAGUGGAAGGCUGAUGUUUGUCAUGCCUAUCAACUCCUGAAGAAAGGUGGGCUUAAAGAUGAAAACAUCAUUGUUUUCAUGUAUGAUGACAUGGCUCAAAAUGAAGAGAACCCCAGGCCUAGAAUCAUAAUCAACAGUCCCCAUGGUGAUGAUGCAUUAGGUCAAUUUUAAAUUAAGGAAAUUGUAUUCUUUCUUUCUCAUUUGGUGGGCUUUUGUUUGAGCAGGAUUAUACCGGGGAAAAUGUCACUGUUAACAACUUCUUUUCUGUUACCCUUGGACAUAAGACUGCUCUUACAGGGGAAGUGGAAAGAUUGUGGAUAGUGGUCCAAAUGACCAUAUUUUCAUAUUUUACAGUGAGCAUGGGGGCCCUUGGGUGCUUGAUUGAUUUUUGAUAACGUUUGGAAGCAUACUUGCAAAUCAAGAUUGAAUUUUUUUUUCCC